This 446-nucleotide ribosomal RNA is filed under the name uncultured bacterium. RNAcentral's name for it is "partial 16S ribosomal RNA". It matches the Rfam family "Bacterial small subunit ribosomal RNA", at positions 354 to 796 of the family's 1533-position model. The record is from RNAcentral.
GUAGGGAAUAUUGGGCAAUGGAGGCAACUCUGACCCAGCCAUGCCGCGUGCAGGAUGACGGCCCUCUGGGUUGUAAACUGCUUUUAUACGGGAAGAAAAAAUACUACGUGUAGUAUACUGACGGUACCGUAAGAAUAAGGAUCGGCUAACUCCGUGCCAGCAGCCGCGGUAAUACGGAGGAUCCAAGCGUUGUCCGGAUUUAUUGGGUUUAAAGGGUGCGUAGGCGGAUCUUUAAGUCAGUGGUGAAAGCCUGCAGCUUAACUGUAGAAUUGCCAUUGAAACUGAAGAUCUUGAAUGGGGUUAAAGUAGGCGGAAUGUAUCAUGUAGCGGUGAAAUGCUUAGAUAUGAUACAGAACACCGAUAGCGAAGGCAGCUUGCUGAACCAUUAUUGACGCUGAGGCACGAAAGCGUGGGGAGCGAACAGGAUUAGAAACCCUGGGUAGUCC